GGAAGCUGAGGUGAGAGCUGUUUCCACUCCAUGCCCCAGGGCCUGGGUUGAGGUCUCAGAUGUGAAGCUCUGGAAUGAAAUGUCCCACAGGAGCCACCCCUGGGCCUGAGGCUGGGGCCUCACUUUGCAGCUCUGUUUGGCAUCAUGGUACAACUCCCCUGUCUGGCUGUUGGGACUGCUACGAAAGCUGGUUUUGGAGGAGUCUCCAGCAAGGGUCACUCUGUUUGGGAGAGAUGCAGCAUAGUCUGUGGUCACUAUAAGGGAGUGAAGUAAUAAGUUGUCUUGGAGACACUGGUGACUGCGCAGAUCAAGAGCCUGCUUUCAGAUGAAAGAAGCCAGAAAUCUCAACCAAUGUCUGGAGGUACAAUGUGUGUUGUUCAUGCUCCGUGUGUCAACUUGGAGCAGAAAGUGAAAGCUACCCUUCACCAGCGAAAGCUAGCAGCAGAGGCACAAUGCCCAUGGGUCCCUACUCCAUUUUAAUCAGCCGUAACAUCAAGGUUACACACAGUCGAUUCAAACCUCUAUCCAUCACCACCGAUUCCAAGCAGUCCCAUCUACCCCAGCACCAAGGCUGCACCAACUUACUCCACCCAUGUUGUCACAGCUUCUAGUCCCACCAAACAUACACCAACUACCUCCUAGCAGCAGCCGUCCAAGCCAGCUACUACUUCACCCCCUGCCCUGUAGCUAUCAAAGCCCAACACCCUGCCCUCUCCAAGCCUCCACAUUAUACGCAACCAACUAAUGCCACCCUGUGCUUCACCCUCUAAAUGAGGCUCCUGAAUGUCCCUAUGCUUCUACCAACUACAGCCUCAUGAAAAGGGCAGUCUCUACCCAAAGGACAAAAAGAAAGAAGAGGGAAAAAGAAGCCAGGAUUGGAAUAAAGACAGUAGAGGCAAGAUAGGAGGCAAGGCUGCAGGAGGAGAGUCGAGACAAGGCAGUGAGGCAGGAGGGGGGAAAUCAGGACAGGGAAGAAGAGGAUCCAUGAGGCUGACUGGCACAUAGUGCACCAAGGGGGGUCCCCAAGCAGGGCCAGGGGACAACAGCCCUGGGGCAGAGACAGUAGAGCAGUAGAUGGGGAGCAAGGAGGAACAGGGAUGA
Long non-coding RNA from Alligator mississippiensis (American alligator), 1101 nucleotides. RefSeq lists it as uncharacterized. Lineage: Eukaryota; Metazoa; Chordata; Crocodylia; Alligatoridae. The record is from RefSeq and is a predicted model, not a curated record. The transcript has 3 exons.